AUACGUAGGGGGCGAGCGUUGUCCGGAAUGAUUGGGCGUAAAGGGCGCGUAGGCGGCCCGGUAAGUCUGGAGUGAAAGUCCUGUUUUUAAGAUGGGAAUUGCUUUGGAUACUGUCGGGCUUGAGUGCAGGAGAGGUAAGUGGAAUUCCCAGUGUAGCGGUGAAAUGCGUAGAGAUUGGGAGGAACACCAGUGGCGAAGGCGACUUACUGGACUGUAACUGACGCUGAGGCGCGAAAGUGUGGGGAGCAAACAGGAGUAGAUACCCUGGUAGUCCACACUGUAAACGAGGAAUGCUAGGUGUAGGGGGUAUCGACCCCUUCUGUGCCGCAGUCAACACAAUAAGCAUUCCGCCUGGGGAGUACGGCCGCAAGGUUGAAACUCAAAGGAAUUGACGGGG
Molecule: ribosomal RNA, 397 nt
Filed under: uncultured bacterium
Lineage: Bacteria
Description: partial 16S ribosomal RNA
Rfam family: Bacterial small subunit ribosomal RNA
Source: RNAcentral